Long non-coding RNA from Callithrix jacchus (white-tufted-ear marmoset), 3850 nucleotides. Lineage: Eukaryota; Metazoa; Chordata; Mammalia; Primates; Cebidae. The record is from Ensembl.
UCCCCCCAGCCAGCCUUCAAAAAAAAUGUCGAAAGGGAUGAAGAACUUAGGGAGGUAAAGGUGGGGGGCCGCGUGGUGAAAGCGGGGGUUGGGGGGAGUGAGGGGUGGCAAUAAUCGUUUAAAAAACUGAUUAAAGUCCCCCAAACAGUGAUACAUAGAAAGAGGGGGAAAGGCUGGGGGGGGUGGGGGGUUGGGGGAAAGAGAAAGAGCCGCUGGUCAGGAAACUUCAAGCGCGGAUGAGGUCAUUGGUUUAAAAAUAAAGAGAUGGCGUCACUUGAAACCAAUCCCAGUGAAUGAACUCAGCGGAGCCCCGGGGAAAGGAGGAGACAGGCGAGGGCAGGGCGGUGGGCGCCGGGCGGGGCCGCGCGCCCGCCUGCCCGCCCAUCCCGCGGACGCCGGAGCCCCGAGCGCGACUCCGCGCCUCGUUCCGGCCGCUUGGGGAGGGGUCAGGUCAUGUUCCCUUCCAGUGUCCGGCGACUCUGAGGCAGGUUCCGCGGGCGCCGCUGGGAGGAGCCGGAGCUGCCGGAGGAGGCGGCCCCGAGGCCUCUUCCCCCUCCUCUCCCUCCUCCUCCUCCUCCUCCUUCCGGGCCCGCGCCCCCGCCGCCCCCCGGGCCAGGGUGUCCGCCUCCAGCGCUGCGCUGCAGCAGAUGACAUUAUGCACUUUGGAAAACGAGAGACCUGAGGUGGUGACAAACGAGGACUUGGAAUUACUGAAUAGGACAAUGGGAGCUUUAUUUCAAUGUUCUUUGAGCAUUUAAGCAUGAAGCUGCUUCUAGUGAGAAGUGCUCACGUGGAUAUCACAUAACAAAGAUGUGAUUAAUGACGGAAAAGCACCCUGCGAGUGGACUGCUCCAUGAGCCAGAAUUUAUGUGUUGGAAUAAUCUAACUCCUAAAAGACUCCGUUUGCGAUGUGCCUGAUUGGGACACUGGCCCCUAAAGACACUGUUGUGGGAUAUCCAUAUGCACCCUGCCUAAAGCACUUUGUUUUCAUUGGCAAAAGAACUGAGAAGCGGGUUUGGGUGGGUUAGAAAGAUAAUACACCCCUUUUGCUACUUUUCUGCCUUUAAAUCCUGCAACUGAAGGGCAUUCCUUAUGACUGGUAAUCAUUGAAGGUUAGUGUUGCCGGGUAAGGCUCCGGCUUUUAUAGGAGGGAGGAAAGUCCAUUUGAAGAUGGGAGGCAUUGCCAGCACCUCUGGCGGUAGGUAAAGCCCGAAGGCCACAGUGCAGAAGCAACUCUGAGCCGGUGCCUCUGGCCUCCUGAAGACUUCUGCUAGGGAAAGCAAAUCUCUCCCACUGCUUCCUGUCCUCUGGUGGCCAGGAGGUGUUACUGCAGCUUCCUUGGGAUUAUUUGUGCUCUACCAGGAAACCCCUAAAAAUCUAACUGUAGACCUUUGUUGGAGGUGUUGGGAUUUUUAGGAAGGAAGGAGAAGAUAGUCCUUUUACUAGUGGUACAGAGCAUGGAUCUUGCCUGGAGAAAAGAUUCAUGAGAAUUCAUGAUAUCCCCUUUGCAUGCCAUAGUUCCAGUAACCUUGCUUUAACUGACAUGGCUUGAAAUCUUUCUCCCCUUUCAUCCUCAUUACAAUUAAAUUUGUGUAAUGUAUGCAUGUGGUGCCAUCAUAGCUAUCAUGGAAGCCUCUCGGGGUAUUUCAUCUAUUUCUGGAAACAAGACAUAGAUUAAAGUUAAUUAAAAGCCAAAGCACUGAUUGAGUGAUGUACAAUAUUGGUUAAAAGAGUCGGGGGAGAAAAGGAGCGAUGCACCCUGCCUAAAGCACUUUUUUUUCAUUGGCAAAAGAACUGAGAAACGGGUUUGGGUGGGAUUAUCGGGGAAGGCACCUUAUGAAGAGUUUUGACCUUAUCCUUGAAGGAUAGUUAAGAUUCAGUUUGCAGUGAAGAAGCCGGUGGAGGGACGAUUCCAGAGGGCAAAUGGCAAUGAGCCAAGACAUGGAGGUGGAAUGAAUAAUGAGUAAGGUGUACUCAGGUGAGAGAAGAGCAAACCCUUCCAGUAGCAGUAGAGCGCAGUGGCUCACGUCUGUAAUCCCAGCACUUUGAGAGUUUGAGACGGGCAGAUCACCUGAGUUCCAGAUUUGAGACCAGCCUGACCAGCAUGGUGAAACCCUGUCUCUACUAAAAAUACAAAAUUAGCGGGUCAUGGGAGCACACAUCUGUAAUCCCAGCUGCUAGGGUGACUGAGGCAGGAGAAACACUUGAACCCGGGAGGUGAAGGUUGUGGUGAACCGAGAUUGCAGCAAUGCACUCCAGCCUGGGCAACAAGAGUGAAACUCCAUCUCAAAAAAAAAUGGUAUGUAGCAAUUAGGUGUGAGGUCAAAUUUAAGAGAUACAGAGGCAGAUUGUGGACAUACUUGAAUGUGAAGAUAAAUAGAUUGUUACCUGCCCAGCAGGUGAAGGGGAAAUCACUAAAGAAGUUGACUUCACUGAAGAGUAUCUUUCUCUUUCUUCCAGUGAGAACAGCUUUACAUAUACUAACAAUAAAUAUGUGGAAGCCGAAAUUAAAAACACAGAACCAUUUACAAUUGCCCCAAAGAAUGUGAAAUAUUUACAUAUACAUCUAACAAAAUGUACAGGAUCUGCGUGCUGAAAAUUAUAAAAUGCUGAUGAAAGAAAUUAGACAAAUAAUUGGAACGGCAUAUCAUGGAUUGGAAGAAUCAAUAAACAUGUCUUUCCUUCCCAAAUUGAUAUAUAGAUUUAACAUAAUUCCCAUCAAUACCCCAGCAAAGUUGUUGGGUUUUUGUUUUUGUUUUUGUUUUUUUGAGAUGGAGUUUCGCUCUUGCUACCCAGGCUGGAGGGCAAUGGCGCAAUCUCGGCUCACCGCAACCUCCGCCUCCUGGGUUCAGGCAAUUCUCCUGCCUCAGCCUCCUGAGUAGCUGGGAUUACAGGCACACACCACCAUGCCCAGCUAAUUUUUUUAUUUUUUUAGUAGAGACGGGGUUUCACCAUGUUGACCAGGAUGGUCUCAAUCUCUUGACUUCGUGAUCCACUCGCCUCGGCCUCCCAAAGUGCUGGGAUUACAGGGUUUUUGUUUUUUUUUAAGAGUCUCACUCUGUCACCCAGGCUGGAGUACAGGAGUACAGCAGUGCCAUCUUGGCUCACUGCAACCUCCGCCUCCCAGGUUCAAGCAGUUUUCCACCUUAGCAUCCCAAGUAGCCGGGAUUACAGAUGUCUGCCACCAAGCCGGGCUAAUUUUUGUAUUUUUAGUAAAGAUGGGGUUUUACCAUCUUGGCCAGGCUGAUCUUGAACUCCUGACCUUGUGAUCCACCCAUCUCAGCCUCUCAAAGUGCUGGGAUUACAGGCAUGAGCCACCAUGCCCAGCCAGAUUUUGUAGUCAUAGGCAAGCUUAAACUAAAACAGUGUCCAACACAUUUAGAGGGCUGAGUGAGUGCUACAUUCCCCCAGGACACAGGAAGAGUUCAUAUACUAGGGCACCAGCAAGGCAGGAACUCCAAGAUUUACAAUCAGAUAAUCUAGAAAGAAGCUAUUUUUGCUUCAGUACAUGUAAGUGUGUGGUUUAGUACUAUUUUUAGUUAGAGUUAAAUAUGGGGAAGGAGCACCAGAAUUGCUAGUUACAAUUAACUACGGGGGAGGAACACCAUCAUCCCUAGUGUUUAGACCCUCUUAGGGUCUUACUUAAUCCAUCCUUGGCUGAAGUUUAUUCAUUCAUUGGACAAACAGUGAUUGAGUGCCUACUACCCGUAUGUGCCAGGCACUGCACCUAGCUCUGGGAAUAUGGUUAUAGAUAAGAUAGGUAAGGCUCCCUUUCUCAUGAAACUAACAUUCCAGUGGAGAGACAAGACAAUUACUCUAAGCCAAUAAACAAAAUCAAUGGCCUGGACUG